Molecule: long non-coding RNA, 3448 nt
Organism: Mesoplodon densirostris (Blainville's beaked whale)
Lineage: Eukaryota; Metazoa; Chordata; Mammalia; Artiodactyla; Ziphiidae
Exons: 3
Source: RefSeq, a predicted model, not a curated record
GACCGUCUUCGCGAUCUGAACCUUUGGUACCUACAAGGAGGGUGUCUCACCGAACGGUAGCUAAGACCUCACCAGGACCGCGCGGAAGCGAGGAGUCGCGGCCAAAGGCGCCCGCCGGAGCCUCGUCUCUGGGCCGGACCCCAACCCGAGCGGCCGAAAGGAACCCCCCGCCCGGAUCACAGUGACAAAAUGAUACCAUCAUUUUUAUGUGACUCAUAUGCAAAAUGAAAUACAUUAAUCUCUGAGAUCUGCUGAUGGGAAAUAAGAUCAGAUAUUUCACUUCUAACUCUAUCAAGCAAAAGAAAAAUCAGUUGUGAUUCCAAGAAGAGAUGAACUCUUGAGCACAGGCUCUGGACACGCAGGCUCAGCAGCCAUGGCUCACGGGCCCAGCCGCUCCACAGCAUGUGGGAUCUUCCCGGACCGGGGCACGAACCCAUGUCCUCUGCAUCGGCAGGCGGACUCUCAACCACUGCGCCACCAGGGAAGCCCCAAGACUGUUUUAAUGGCUACUGUAUUUAACUUCAUUUGCCUAUAUUCCUAGUAAUGUUAUAGUCAACGACAAACAGUAACUGUAGAAAUGGUUCCAUUAUAUCUUAAUUUUACACAGUCACAUUUAAAAAAUAGGUCAGCAGUUUUAUAAGCACUCAACUCUACAUAUGUGUUUUUCAUAGCUAGUUAUUUUCUUUUUGAAUGUUAUUUAUGGUUUUAUACAGCAGGUUCUUAUUAGUUAUCUAUUUUAUACAUAUUAGUGUAUACAUGUCAAUCCCAAUCUCCCAAUUCAUCCCCCCCACCCCCCCACCACUUUCCCCCCUUUGUGUCCAUACGUUUGUUCUCUACAUCUGUGUUUCUAUUUCUGCCCUGCAAACCAGUUCAUCUGUACUAUUUUUCUAGGUUCCACAUAUAUGCAUUAAUAUAUGAUAUUUGUUUUUCUCUUUCUGACUUCACUCUGUAUGACAGUCUCUAGCUCCAUCCACAUCUCUACAAAUGACCCAAUUUCAUUCCUUUUUAUGGCUGAGUAAUAUUCCAUUGUAUAUAUGUACCAUAUCUUCUUUAUCCAUUCAUCUGUCGAUGGACACUUAGGUUGCUUCCAUGACCUGCCUAUUGCAAAUAGUGCUUCAAUGAACAUUGGGGUUCAUGUGUAUUUUUGAAUUAUGGUUUUCUCUGGGUAUAUGCCCAGUAGUGGGAUUGCUGGGUCAUAUGGUAAUUCUAUUUUUAUUUUUUUAAAGCUAGUUGUUUUUUGAAGACUUUUUACUAGGCAUUAUAGAAUGCCUGAAUAACAGGGAUAAAGUAAAUGUCCAUUUAAGUGUGAUUUAGAGUUUUUGAAAAGGAGAAUGUAGUCAAAAGCAGUUCUUUUAAUGAACUUAAACAUAGAAAUGAUUGUUUAAAAGCCACACUGAUGAAUUCUUUAUAACACUGAUCCUGAAGUAACACAAGAAGCUACAAUAACAUCAUACAUACCACAUAUGUAGAGAAGUCACAUUAGAAAAUUUCUAGAGGCUAAGUCAUUUCUUCCUUUCUAAUCUUGAGCUUCAAACCAAAGCUACUUUUGACUGCAACUCCAUCUCUAUGUACACACAGAUAAAAGAAUAAGUGGUAUUAUCAGGCAAUAAACAUUGUUUUAAAGUUAUAAUCAUAGUAAUUCCAUGAUCAGAUGUCACUUCUUCCUUGUUGAUGUUAUACUAAAGAUAUUAUAUCAUUCUUUCAUUUAACAGAUAUUUAUUGGGGUCCUCUUAUUACAUAAAAAGUAACUAAACCUUGCCUAGCUAAACCUUAUUUAAUCUAAAUUCAGUGUCAGAUUCUUGUCAUAAUAAGGAUGACUACAUAUACUAGUUUUUUUUUAUUGUUGUAUAAGAAAUUACAUUUAAGUAGUGGCUGAAAACAACAGACAUUUGUUAUCUAAAAAUUUCUGUGGAUCAGGAGUCUGAACACAGAUUAGCUGUGUUCUCUGAAAGAAUGAGGUCAAGGCUUUCUUCAGGAUUGGGCUCUCAUCUGAAUACUCAACCAGGGAAGAAUCCCUUUGCAAAUUCACUUAGGUUCUGUCACUGCCAUAAUUCAUUUCCUUGUGGUUGUAGGACUGAGGGCCUCAUUUUCUUGCUGGCUGUCAGGUUAUUGGCUGCAAGCUCCUCUCAGUUCCUAGAAUCUACUCCAAGUUUCUUAUCACAUGAGUCUCCCAACAUCACUGCUUGCUUCAUCAAAAUCAGCAAGAGCAAAAGAGAUUCCUGCAAAAUGGGAGCUAUGAUCUUAUGAGCAUAAUCACAUACAUGCAAUUAUGUAUAUUCCUUUGCCUUUGUUGUAUUUUAUUGGUUAAAAGCAAGUCACAUGUCUCAUCUAUACUCAAGGAAAGGAAGUCACAGGAGGCCAUGGACAUCAGGAGGUAGGGGUGAUAGGAGACACUUUAAGAGUCUGUCUGCCAUACUGUGUAAAAUUAACAAUCUAGGUAGGAGCAAUUCAUUUGAAAAUAAAUACAUGAACAAAAAUAAAAACAGUAGGUGUAGUUCAAAUAUUCUUGCCUGUAAAUUAGGAAAUUUGGCCUACUGUAUGGCUUUCAGUAACCUGAGACACCUCUUUGGACCCAAACGGGAUUGAGUUCAUAUCUGAAAAUUGGACUAGAAUGAUUGCUAAAAUCCUUUUCAGCUUUAGACUUCUACAAGGCCUAGAAUAUUUGGAAUGCAUAGAAUUAUUCAAUGAACUAUAUGUUUUACUUUUUUAACCCAGAUAUUUAUUCAGAAGUUUAAGUCUUCUUAAUAGUUUACAACGAAAAGGCCAAAUCUGUCAGGAUUUCAAUUUAAUUUAAAUGCAUUUUGAAUGUCUACUCUAAACAGGUCAUGGAACUUAGUAAAAUUAAUGAUUAAGAAGGUAGGUUCUAGGGACUUCCCUGGCGGUCCAGUGGUUGGGAAUCUGCCUUCCAAUGUAGGGAACACGGGUUUGAUCCCUGGUCGGGGAACUAAGAUCCCACUUGCCACGGGGCAACUGAGUGCAGGCACCACAACUAGAGAGCCCAUGCACCACAACGAAAGAUCCUGCAUGCCGCAACUAAGACCUAACGCAACCCUUAAUUAAUUAAUUAAUUAAUUAAUUAAUAAAAGAAAGUAAGUUCUAGAGUUAGAUGCUUGAGUUCAAAUCCCAGGCUCUUCCUCUCAUCAGCUGAGUGACAUUGGGCAAAAUAUUUAAUCUCUCUUCAUUGAUAACAUGAAAUGACAAUAAUACCUAGCUUUUAAGAUUGCUGCCUCACAAAUAUUAAUUAUUUAAAUAUUAGCUGUUGUAGAUUUUAUUAUCAUUACAAUAUAAUACAUCAUUUAUAUUAGGCAAGGGAAAUACAUGCAAGGUGAAUAAUAAAGUUUCUCUGCCUUGAAGGAACUCAUAGAAAUGGUGCUUUGUUGAAAUAUUUUCCCUUCUAGGUAGAAUAUGUCAUUAUAAAAAUGUUUUAUCUCUCAUGAGAUUUAUCAGU